Molecule: long non-coding RNA, 344 nt
Organism: Olea europaea var. sylvestris
Lineage: Eukaryota; Viridiplantae; Streptophyta; Magnoliopsida; Lamiales; Oleaceae
Exons: 2
Source: RefSeq, a predicted model, not a curated record
AAGUACAGAUAGGAGACGACGAAUUUAUUGACAUUUCCAAUUUCUUCAAUUAGUGAUACGGCAUCUGUACACACUCCACGAGGAGAAAUUGUGAAGAAGAGAAGAAACAGAGAGAAGAAGAGGGAAGAAACAAUGGGGUGAGUUUUCAAUCCCUGGCAUAUGGCGACAAUAGAUUAUAAUUAUGAAGAAUAAAGUGUAAAGUCUAGUCGAUGAUUUUACUCAUUUAGCUCUAGGUCACCCCUCCUCCGACGUAUGAACUGUUUUUAUUUUCAUUUUCAAUAUGUUACAUUUAUUGGUUAAAUUGUUUAGUGUUUUGAAAUGAUUCAAAUGAGUAAUUCUUGGUA